This 474-nucleotide ribosomal RNA is filed under the name uncultured bacterium. RNAcentral describes it as "bacterial SSU rRNA". It matches the Rfam family "Bacterial small subunit ribosomal RNA", at positions 28 to 507 of the family's 1533-position model. The record is from RNAcentral.
GACGAACGCUGGCGGCGUGCCUAACACAUGCAAGUCGAGCGGGGUUGAAGCGAGGGGUAACUCGGACUUCUACCUAGCGGCGGACGGGUGAGUAACGCGUGGGCAACCUGCCUCAAGGUUUGGGAUAACAGCUCGAAAGGGCUGCUAAUACCGGAUAUGCCUGUGGCCUCGCAUGGGGCUAUGAGCAAAGGGGAAACCCGCCUUGAGAUGGGCCCGCGUCCCAUCAGCUAGUUGGUGAGGUGAAGGCUCACCAAGGCGACGACGGGUAGCCGGCCUGAGAGGGUGACCGGCCACACUGGGACUGAGACACGGCCCAGACUCCUACGGGGGGCAGCAGUGGGGGAUCUUGCACAAUGGGCGAAAGCCUGAUGCAGCGACGCCGCGUGAGCGAAGAAGGCCUCGGUUGUAAGCUCUGUCUGGAGGGACGGAAACAAAUAGACGGUACCUCCGGAGGAAGCCACGGCUAACUACGUG